Molecule: long non-coding RNA, 4633 nt
Organism: Passer domesticus (house sparrow)
Lineage: Eukaryota; Metazoa; Chordata; Aves; Passeriformes; Passeridae
Exons: 5
Source: RefSeq, a predicted model, not a curated record
CGGCUCUGAGGCACAGGGGCGGGGGUGCCCGGAGCUGCCCGGCGGCGCCUGAGGCGGACGCUGGGCUGUCCCCGGCGCCUUGACGGCUCGACGGGAGGAGGCGACGCUCGCUUCGUGGAGGAGCCCGGCCACGCACAGGUAUUCAAGAUGAUUCAGUAGUCUCAACGUGGAUCAGCUCAGAUCCCGACAGUUAAGCGUGAUAGCGGGGGACACUGUCUUCGUACCUGGAACGCCGGAAGAACCCGCACUGCCACAGAAGGAAAGGAACGGUUUAGCUGUAAGUUGCUGCCAAAGUACUACAACUGCAGAGGCAGUGAAUUCUUCCUUCACACAAAUAUACAGUGAGAAGACAUUUUACAUGAACAAAUGAAUGAGCCCAUCCUGUUCUCAUUAAAGCAUCGAAAGGUUGUUUAAAAUAGCUGCCAGAGACAAAAGAGGGAGAGAGAUACAAUGAAAUAGGACCUGUGAAAUAGGACCUCUGUGUUCAGUUCAGCUAAAGGAUACUGAAGGGCCAGGAUGAUUUGCUCUUCUUCCAAGAAGUUACUUGGCAAUAGAAGUGAGUACCAGAAAUUACUGAUCUGCCGAGAGCGUAGUUCAUCUUCAUUUACAGUAUUUAUGGACUAUGAACACUUGAAACGGAAGAAGUAUUCUGCAAAGUAUUCAAGCAGUAUUCUAGGGAGUAUAAUGAAGUUCCAUUCCCACCCUUGCAAACUGGACAUAGUGACCCUCAAAACAAAACAAAACCAAAAAAAAAACCAAGCCAACCAACAACAAACAACCAAACAUUUUUAAGAAGGAAGUGAAAUAGUAGUAAUGAAAGAGAAAACAAAGAAAGUAAUUGUUUUCAAAUCACCAGGUUUUUUUUUAAACCCAGAAUUUAUUUAUCUAUACAUCUUUUUCCUUCUGCACAUAUUAUAUGUGCCAAUGGACAGCCCCAGAAAUAAAAAUAUAUAUUAAUAUCAGGAAUUCCUAAUCUUUCCUGUCAGCAGUGCAAUCUUUGAAGGGCCUUGCAACUUUCCUGUGUACCCAACACCCCAGUAAUAGCAAGGGAAAGGAAGAUGGAUAGUAGCCCUGUCAUUGCUUUAAUUUUGUUCAAGAAUAAUUAUAUAUAGUAAAGGUUAUUUCAUUACCUGUGCUGGCUUUGUAUUAAUUCCAUUCUCGGAUCCAUGAUAAAUGUACACUUUGCCAAAACCAUCAUAUGGAGCCCCUACUGCAAUAUCUGGUGAAAAUAAGUUGUAACAUAUAAAAUCAUUCUUGCUCUUUCUGCAGCAUGCAAUCAAAGGGUAAGACGUUGCAAGUCUGGCAUUGGCCAGACAAUCUCACACAUUUUAACUGCCAUUGUUUUCCAUUUACCUGGAUAUCCAUCCUGAUUAAUGUCCCCAACAUUUUCCACUGCAAGCCCAAACAUGGAGUCAGUGGUUCCGUUUAGGCGAAGAGGCUUCACCCCUGCCCAUUUGCCUUGGCGGUUCAUGUAGACGUACACGGCACCCCCGAUAUCCCCGCUCCUGUCAAAGUACUGCGGGGCCCCAACAACGAUGUCCUGCCAGCUUAGAAGUAAAAGAAAAAAAAAGGCAAUGCUUUUGUAGAAGAACUCUGAAGAAUAACCGCUCAGACUGUGAUCUCAAGAUAGCUGCCCAGAGAGCUGCUGAAGAAAGACUAACAUGUGCAUUAACUGGUUAGGCAUCCACAGCCCCACUGACACUGCAAGCUGGUUUAUUCCCUUGAGAGCAUACAAACACCUUCUGUGGUCUUCUUGAGGUAUGAGACUAGUUUCUUGUUUCUUUGUUUACAAUAAUUGUUUAAAUAAAACUCUUUAUUAGAAAGGUAGAUUCUAUCCUGAUUGAUUCUCAAGAGGCUCACCAUUUCCUCCAGGAAAACAUGGAAGGUGGGCUUUGUCAUUCCUUAUAUUUCUAACGUGAAAAACCAAAGCAGAAAUAAACAAGAUCCCUAUCCUUUAUCAUACAAGCAGCAGGAGUUAACCACAGACAUACCCAUCACUGUUGAGGUCCACAACAGCAACAUCAUAGCCAAAAGAGGAGGCCAGCCCUUCUCCUUCAAACAUGUGCUCCAGGGAAAGUGCUCUCUGAUUUUUUUCUUUUUUUAGUAAAACAACUGCUCCGCUGUGGUUUGCUCUUGGGGCACCAGACACAAAAGUCAUCUCAUCCUGGGAGACAAUUCCUUUACCAGAGUCCAAAGAGAAACCUUUAACAGAGAAAGAAAUAAAGUAUAAAUUAACUAAGCAACAGCUUACAUUGUAAUAUGAAAAAAUAAACAUUUCCCCAGCUAUAUUAAAGUGGUAUAUGGAAUACAAGUUUUGUCUAAAAUACAGUGUGCUGUGGCUGGGAAUUCCCCAUUUCUGUUUGCACUGGUGGAUGCGUAUUUGCAAGUCAAGACUUUUUUAUGUUCCCACAAACAUUCCUCCAUACAUUACAGUUAGUAUUUCCCCACAAGACACAGUACUUCAUUGCUCACUUGGACCUGCUUUUCACAGACACCAAACAUGUACAGCUUGGACACAAUUACAGCUUUACCACUUGAAUAUAGCUUGAGUACUUCACCUCUGGCAAAAUGAUCAGAAAACCUCCUAAGUAAAGUCAGUAUCGUUGUAUUACAAACAUGCAAACUGUUCUGCACAAGCAUUCUCAUAUGAAUGAUGUAUGCAGUAUUUGAGAAUCAGCUUACACAGUAAUGGUGAAAUGAGCAAUUUUAAGUUAAUGCAGCCCUAAAAAUUACAUAUUCAAAUUAAUUUAGUCUUACAAUACAUUUUAAAAUAUGAAAAACCAAGUUAAAAGACAAUACUGCAUAUACCAAUAUAGCCAGUAAAGGCCAAAGUAGAAAAAUGCCCACUUUGCAAGGAAGGAAGAUACCAGCCAGAUGGGAGUCUCCCUCUGAAACACUUCACCACUACUAUGGAAACUCUCAAUUACAGCAAUUCACAAUGAGACAGUUCCAGAAAAAACUGAGGGAGUCUCAGCUGGGGAAGGAUGAGAAGGUUUGGAGAAAUGCAUGACAAAUCAGCAUUUCUCUGAAGCCUUCUUACUUUACUGUCUCCCCUUUAUCUGAAUCCCUGUUUCUUUCAUGCUUUACUUAUAUUUGAUAUGAGAGGGGAUAGAGGGGAGAGGAUCAUGACAAAGGUCUGGAGAUUAAGUCUGACCAGAUGCUGCCACCUCAAGUGGUCACAAACCUAAGUAGCUAUUCAUCAUUACAUCCACUGACUUGUCCACCUGUAUGCUGGGAGGCAAUGUUUUGUACACAAACUGAUCUGGAUGAGUAUCAGAUACAGCUGUCAAAAAUAGAAGACCUAUAAAUAUGAGUGAAAGAUUGAAGAGAAAAAAAUAGUAGUUAAGCAAAGCACCUAUUACCACAUUUGCUUACGGUCUAAACAGACAGAACAGUAAUGCCUAGGAUGAGCUGGCUUGCCUGGAAGUGGUUCUGAUUAUUACAAAUCAAGGCAGCAUUUACAUUUAGGAGAGAAAUGCAUUGGUUACAUAACUGGAAAAAGUAUAUGACUGUUCACAGCAAAAGGCAUCGGCCUCAGUACUUCUCAAUGCUUAUUCCACCAGAAGAUGCUAUCAGCUUGUCUAAUCUAAGUUCUUAGGAUGAUUUUUCUAGUUACCUUUACACCAGUAAUUACUGCUGAUAUUUAACAGAAGUUUAUGUUCUCUUUCUCCUAACAUAUAUGUAGCUCUAAGUUUGCUCUCUUCUUGACGUGCUUUUUUACUUUUUACAUUAGCAAUGCCCUUCCCAUCUAUUCAGCUUUCCAUCACUCACACAGAAAUUCCAGUCUCAGGUUACCAAAACUCUAUUUGUUGCAUAUGCCAAAAGCAGUGGAUCAACACACCACAGAAAUCUGCACUGGAACAGAAGGAUUCUUUACACUUAAUGCCUUUCCAAAAACCAAGCAUAGCCUUUUCAGUGGAUCUCCCUGGUGGUCAGAAAGGUCAUUGGCCUAAGGACAUAUUCCUGCUUUCUGACUGCACAAAGAGCAAGAGAUUCACCUUCUGCAACACACACACAAGUAAAAUAUAAACAGUACACUUAUAUUAUGGCAUUUUAAAGGUCUGUUAAAAGCCACCGGAGUUUUAAAAAUGUGAAGAAUAGAAGAAUUGCACUUACCUACCAGGAGAGAAAAUCUACAACCUUAACAGCAAAACCUCAAAUUUUUAUAAACUUUCUGAUACUACAUAGCAGAGACUGUGCAAAUAAGGACUACAGACCCAUUCAUUGUACUGACCCAUCACAGUGAUUAUAAUCACUCCCGGAGAUUCCAUAGGCCCUUGGCACAGCUCUUGGAUCUCACAUUACAGCAGCAGCUCUUCUAGGUACCUCAGCAGUAUCAUCUUACACUUAAAACUGGCCCAUAAAUGUGGAGGGAGGCUGUGAAUUAUCCCAAAGAGUUAACAUGUUACAGGGUCCACAAUGGAACAUCUGCUCCCAUUUCUGAUCAUCACACCCGGCUGGGACCACAAAUGUUUAAGAGACCUAAAGAGAUUUACCACAUGUACUUAAUCCUACCUAAGUAACUGUUAGCUGGAACAGGAACUAGAUUCUUAUCCUGGCGGCUCUCAUCACCAACUUCGUAAGGCCCAUCAUCAAAGAUACCCAGAUCAUAAAAUGUCUGAUUCUUUUGCUC